UACCACCUCUCUGUCGCCUCCUCCCUCGGUUCCCUCCACCAACACUCUACCUUUGUCACCGCCCUCUCCUUCUACGCCCCUCCCAAUCUCCACUUCCCCCGCAACCUCAUCUCUGCCGACGACGCUGGCUCCCUCGCCAUUUUUGACGCAAACGGCUUUGUCCAUCUUACCACGCUCUCCGGCCACUGCAACGGUGGUAUCAACGACCUCGCCUCUACAACUGUCCGGUGAGCGCGACCGAUAAAAUUGAAGAUGUUUGUUCAGGCUUUGAAGGAUGCUUGAAUAGAGGAGUUCUCUUUGUCAGCUUAGCGAGGAAGCAAGUGGGAGCAAUGAUUCUUGUCGGUCACAGGUGAUUAUGUUUCUUAAAUUAAUUUUCUUGGAUUGUUGUUAUAGGGGCUUCAACUGAAAGUAAGUUUGAUGCUUAAAAAAUUAUACGAUUUUGAAACAACUAUAACUUCCAUCUGAAGUAAUAUUUUAAGCUCAAUAAACCAAGUCAUAUGCUACUAAGUUGAUUAAAGAAGAGAAGAACCGAAAGCCUCUUCCAGGCCUCAAGUUCGUCUGCCCUACUCCCACUACCGAGACCUCCAUUUAUAGCCAAAAUCCUCCUUCAUUUUAACCAAGUUGUUUGUUUUGUUUUAUCUCCAAUUGAAAACCCGUGAACUUCCAGCUUUCACGGUUUUCUUGGUCUGCCUUCCAUCCAGAUUUGUGAUGUUUGUGUCCCCAUGAAGACUUUCUUCACCUCCUAGGUGUGCCAAAGAAAUAGGGUGGGCCCCUCUGUCUUUUCUUCAAUCCGUUUGCACUCUUCUUCCUCUUCUUCCUUUGCUGGACGUUACAACACCUUCUUCUCCUCAUCUCCACUUUACACGUUGCAGCUUCAACUGGACCAAGACCGUGGACAUUCCAGCCAAGCACUCUUCUCCCUUCUCAACGUGGCUGCUGGACGUAAGCUUGCUGCUUUUGGGAACGUGAAUUUUCUCUCCUUUCUUCCCCCUUGGUUGCUGCUCCAAAUGGAACCAUAAGCCGUGAGCUGCACUUGGACGUAAGCUUGCUGUGUUUGGAUGCUCCAAGAUGGACCAAGGUGCUGCACGUGAAUUUUCCAGCUGCUUCAGCUUUUCUUCAACAAAAUAUUUCAGCUUUCCACUCUUCUCCUUUCACAUGGUUAAUUCCUUCCAACCGUGGGUUUCUUUCUCAAAGACUAAGGCCGUGUGUGUUUUUUAUGAAUGGAAGAAUCAAAACCAAAGCCACCGUGACACCACUUCAAACCAAUCUGAAUCCAUUUCUUUUGUAUGGGGCCGUGGUGUUUUUUUUUGGUGCUUUUUUUUCCAUCCCGUGAGCAAAUGGCUGCA
Molecule: long non-coding RNA, 1346 nt
Organism: Vigna angularis (adzuki bean)
Lineage: Eukaryota; Viridiplantae; Streptophyta; Magnoliopsida; Fabales; Fabaceae
Exons: 3
Source: RefSeq, a predicted model, not a curated record